RNAcentral lists this ribosomal RNA (180 nucleotides) under Lentzea fradiae. RNAcentral describes it as "Lechevalieria fradiae 16S rRNA. Bacterial SSU". It matches the Rfam family "Bacterial small subunit ribosomal RNA", at positions 1 to 181 of the family's 1533-position model. The record is from RNAcentral. Lineage: Bacteria; Bacillati; Actinomycetota; Actinomycetes; Pseudonocardiales; Pseudonocardiaceae.
CCUUAUUGGAGAGUUUGAUCCUGGCUCAGGACGAACGCUGGCGGCGUGCUUAACACAUGCAAGUCGAGCGGUAAGGCCCUUCGGGGUACACGAGCGGCGAACGGGUGAGUAACACGUGGGUAACCUGCCCUGUACUCUGGGAUAAGCCUUGGAAACGAGGUCUAAUACCGGAUACGACCU